Molecule: long non-coding RNA, 324 nt
Filed under: Gossypium raimondii (Peruvian cotton)
Lineage: Eukaryota; Viridiplantae; Streptophyta; Magnoliopsida; Malvales; Malvaceae
Description: long non-coding RNA (GRAI_LNC002775)
Source: RNAcentral
GGAACACCUCGAACGAAGUUGUCAAGUUACUCCGCAGUUUUUCGGGUUUUCUGGUUUUAGCAAUUUUUAUUGAUUCUUAGCUGUAGGUUUUCAUUUGUUUGCUUUUUAUUCUCCCUUUACAAUAUCUAACACCUUCUUGUUUCUUGUGUUAGUAGGAUUUAAACGUGUGCACAAUCCUUCCUCGGUGCAACACGAAUCAAUUGGUGUCUCGUCAGUCUUUGGCAUCCUAGUGCAAAUUAGGAUUAUUUGGUAGUCCGGUUCAUACACUCUCUAAUUGGUUGAUAUAAACUCUACUAAAGCACUCACAAGACUGAAUUCUACCUC